Molecule: unclassified non-coding RNA, 2947 nt
Filed under: Hevea brasiliensis (rubber tree)
Lineage: Eukaryota; Viridiplantae; Streptophyta; Magnoliopsida; Malpighiales; Euphorbiaceae
Source: RNAcentral
GCAUUAUACCAAAAUAAAAAUGGAAAUAUUAGCUGAGGGAAGCUUACAAUAGAAUAUUACAAUACAAUUUUACGACGACUUGAAAUACAAACCAAAUCCAAGUUUACAAUAUUCACCCCUUGAAUGUCUCAUGACCAGAAUGAAUAAAUCAUACAAUUUAUUAAGCAAAGAUCCAUCUGCAUAACAAUGAGUAAUGACCCUCUCUUUCCAUUCAUAACUCAUUUUUUCUAGAGGGGAGAACUGUAAUGGAGGAGGCCCUCCCACUGAACCAUAUGGAUUAAGUAGGGCACUGUUGGCAAUUGAAAUUAUGAACAGUACAUGAGGAAAACGGAUUCAGAGUUGGCAAAACCAUCAGCCCUGUUGGAUUCCACUCGGCCAUGUCUGGUUCUUGACAGGGCUAAGAAUCGCCUCAACUUCGGCUAGUGUUUCUUGAUCCUUCCCAAAUGUAGCAAGUUCUAGGGCAGCAGUAACAUUUUCCUCAACCUGAUCAUUGAAAAGCUUUGUAUCACUAACAUGCCAAAAUACAAGUUCGGCUCAAGCUCAAAUCAAUAACAAAUCUCUUAAGCAUAAAAAUUUUGCUCAAGAUCAAAGCAGAAUUCUCUUGCAUAAAGCAUAAAGGUUUUUUGGCAGUUAAUCUCAUUCUGGAUGUCAAUGCCAUUAGUAUAAACUUGCACUCCAUUAUCCAAUAACAACAGUAAACAUAAGAAUUUGGAUAACAGUUCGUGUAAAAAUGAGUACUAGUCAAUCAGGCAGCUUCUUUUCAUAUCUCAAACAUACAAGCGUUUGAGCAGGUCACAAAGCACUCAUUCUAGCUUAUAAUAUCUACAGAAAUAGAGCUGCUACAUCUAAAAAAGAUAAUGAUAAUGUGCAAGAUCACACCAUUAAAGUAGUGAUUAGUGAACAUGAGACAGGAGAGUCAGUCAAAGUAAAGUAUUUUUGACUUUGUAGUCUUAGUUCCCAAGAAACAGGUUGAACACUAUCAAAGUAUUAGAAAAUGUGAAGCAUACAAAACUGUAUUUAACAGUUGCAUAUCAAAGAAAAUGUAGCAAUUAAGGCAAACUAUGCAUGAUAACCUGUCCAACAGAGUUCAUGCCAACCAGCACUGUAGAGAUAUCCUUGUUCGAUAAACUGUAUUGCAGUGCUAACUUGGUAAUACUCUUUCCCUUCUCUUUACAAUAGGCAGCAGCAGCUUGGCAUUUAGACUGGAGGGGAGAACAGACAAAUCACAUCUUAUCAUGAUUAAUUAAAUUUGCCAAAAGAAUACAUCUUAAAGCAAGCAAAAAAUGAAUGCAUUUGAAAAUAUCUUAUAGAUUAGACAUAUGAUGUGGCAGCCCUCUGCACCUGUUAGCCCAUGAAUAACGGUGAUUAGUCUUUCAAUUGUUGACCUAGUGAAAUGCUCAAGGUAGAACCCUUUCAUUAAUAGGGGAGUAGGCACCUUAUCAAGUGCACGUCCAAGUUCUGAGUUAGAGUGUUCUGAUGAGAUCCAUAUUGAACAACAUAAUCUCAGAUCUUGGCUAUUCAGUGAGCAACAGUUCUUUAUCCCAUAAAAGAACAAAAUACAAGUUCUAGUUGCCUAGCUCUAGACCCUGAAAAAUUCCAAAGUGAGCAAGGGGCAUUAUUUGGAAGACAACUAUAUGCCAUGUAAAAACUCAAUAUUCAUGAUUACAAACUCAGUUUCCCCUAAUUUGCACCAAGGAAGCUCUAAGAUUGAUCAGUGCGUAAUUGUCAGCUUAAAGAACAGUGAGAAUACGCAUGGGUGGACGAGAAAGAGCAUACAGAGUGGAAGUGGAUGGAUGCACCAUCAGCGUGAACGCAUAGAUGCAUGCCUAUUAAAUUCAUGAUCCAGAGGCACAAACACACCUCUUGUUGAGAUAAUGCUGCCUAACCAGACUUUUUGCUGGCAAAAUGUCCUUUGAUAUAAGCAGCACUGUAAUGAAGAUGACAUGGGAUGGGAAGAAAACAUCAUAGAUCAUUGCAGGGUGAUAAGGUGAACCUUUAGCUCAGGAGAAGCAGGGUGCCACUCUGGAGGACCAUUCUCUGUAAGGAGUCCCAUUGCAAGUGGAGAAGCACUAAUUAUACCUACACUUUUGCUCUUCAAGUAUGGAAGUAAAUCCACCAGUGUUGAAUCAUUAAUACUGUAGUGGCAAUAAGAGAGAAUCACAUCAACUGUACCAGAUGGUACUCGAUCGAGCACAUAAGUAAAGAUUCCUAGAGGGAGUCCAGUUAUCCCAAUAAAACGGAUCUUCCCCGCCUCCUUUAGUUUCUGAAGGGCAGGAAUUGUUUCAUUCACAAUCUGCCAUUGGAACCACUAAUAGAGAAUCAUGAGAAUAUUUUCUACCUAUUACAUUUAUAAUAUAAUCUCAAGUAAAUAAACUGAGAGAGAACAAUAACAAAAGACUAAGCAGAAAUUUUAAUCUAUGACCUGGUCAAGAGACCCAAACUCAAUGUCAUGGCAUUGCAAUAUAUCAACGUAGUCCAAUUGCAACCUCUCCAAACUCUCAUCAAUGCUCCUAGUUACUCUUUCAGCACUAAAAUCAAAGCCCUCUUUAUACCGCCCACACUUUGUUGACACGACAUAUUCAUUUCUAGGAACUCCUAGGGCUUUAAGUCCCUUACCAAGCAUCUUCUCUGACAAUGUUCCUCCAUAAUACGGAGAGGUAUCGAAGAAAUUGAUGCCCCGGCGGAAGGCUUCACGAACGGAGGCGACGGCGUCGUCCUCGGAUACAGGGCCGAAGACACUGCCAAGAGGGGAUGCCCCAAAACCCACAGAGCUGAUCUUGAGCCCUGUGUUUCCCAAGGGUCGGAGCUCCAUCGGAUUGGGGGUACGUUUGACUUUGAGAAGUGAGAAAGAGAUUGGAUGUUUGCUUUGCGGGAAAAUAUAAAAUGGGAUGGUGAGAAAGGAAAUAAGCGGACACCAGAGAAUCCAACAGUGACAACAGAAGCUCUG